This 193-nucleotide ribosomal RNA is filed under the name uncultured bacterium. Its description in RNAcentral is "partial 16S ribosomal RNA". It matches the Rfam family "Bacterial small subunit ribosomal RNA", at positions 338 to 524 of the family's 1533-position model. The record is from RNAcentral.
CCUACGGGAGGCAGCAGUGGGGAAUCUUGCGCAAUGGGCGAAAGCCUGACGCAGCGACGCCGCGUGAGGGAAGAAGGCCUUCGGGUUGUAAACCUCUUUCAGGAGGGACGAAGCCACUCGGGUUAAUAGCCCAGAGGGUGACGGUACCUCCAGAAGAAGCCCCGGCUAACUACGUGCCAGCAGCCGCGGUAAU